AUUGAACGCUGGCGGCAGGCCUAACACAUGCAAGUCGAGCGGAUGAAGGGAGCUUGCUCCUGGAUUCAGCGGCGGACGGGUGAGUAAUGCCUAGGAAUCUGCCUGGUAGUGGGGGAUAACGUCCGGAAACGGGCGCUAAUACCGCAUACGUCCUGAGGGAGAAAGUGGGGGAUCUUCGGACCUCACGCUAUCAGAUGAGCCUAGGUCGGAUUAGCUAGUUGGUGGGGUAAAGGCCUACCAAGGCGACGAUCCGUAACUGGUCUGAGAGGAUGAUCAGUCACACUGGAACUGAGACACGGUCCAGACUCCUAUGGGAGGCAGCAGUGGGGAAUAUUGGACAAGGGGCGAAAGCCUGAUCCAGCCAUGCCGCGUGUGUGAAGAAGGUCUUCGGAUUGUAAAGCACUUUAAGUUGGGAGGAAGGGCAGUAAGUUAAUACCUUGCUGUUUUGACGUUACCAACAGAAUAAGCACCGGCUAACUUCGUG
This 484-nucleotide ribosomal RNA is filed under the name uncultured bacterium. RNAcentral describes it as "partial 16S ribosomal RNA". It matches the Rfam family "Bacterial small subunit ribosomal RNA", at positions 30 to 507 of the family's 1533-position model. The record is from RNAcentral.